Molecule: ribosomal RNA, 496 nt
Filed under: uncultured bacterium
Lineage: Bacteria
Description: bacterial SSU rRNA
Rfam family: Bacterial small subunit ribosomal RNA
Source: RNAcentral
GAACGCUGGCGGCAGGCCUAACACAUGCAAGUCGAACGGUAGCACAGAGAGCUUGCUCUCGGGUGACGAGUGGCGGACGGGUGAGUAAUGUCUGGGAAACUGCCUGAUGGAGGGGGAUAACUACUGGAAACGGUAGCUAAUACCGCAUAACGUCGCAAGACCAAAGAGGGGGACCUUCGGGCCUCUUGCCAUCAGAUGUGCCCAGAUGGGAUUAGCUAGUAGGUGGGGUAACGGCUCACCUAGGCGACGAUCCCUAGCUGGUCUGAGAGGAUGACCAGCCACACUGGAACUGAGACACGGUCCAGACUCCUACGGGAGGCAGCAGUGGGGAAUAUUGCACAAUGGGCGCAAGCCUGAUGCAGCCAUGCCGCGUGUAUGAAGAAGGCCUUCGGGUUGUAAAGUACUUUCAGCGGGGAGGAAGGUGUUGUGGUUAAUAACCACAGCAAUUGACGUUACCCGCAGAAGAAGCACCGGCUAACUCCGUGCCAGCAGCCGC